This 66-nucleotide transfer RNA is filed under the name Krisna quadrimaculosus. Its description in RNAcentral is "tRNA-Asn". The record is from RNAcentral. Lineage: Eukaryota; Metazoa; Arthropoda; Insecta; Hemiptera; Cicadellidae.
UUAAUUGAAACCAAAAUUAGAGGUAACUUAAUGUUAAUAAGAAAAUUGAAUAAAAUUCCAAUUAAA